Molecule: ribosomal RNA, 492 nt
Filed under: uncultured bacterium
Lineage: Bacteria
Description: partial 16S ribosomal RNA
Rfam family: Bacterial small subunit ribosomal RNA
Source: RNAcentral
AGUGAACGCUGGCGGUAGGCCUAACACAUGCAAGUCGAACGGCAGCACAGUAAGAGCUUGCUCUUACGGGUGGCGAGUGGCGGACGGGUGAGGAAUACAUCGGAAUCUACUUUUUCGUGGGGGAUAACGUAGGGAAACUUACGCUAAUACCGCAUACGACCUACGGGUGAGAGCAGGGGAUCUUCGGACCUUUCGCGAUUGAAUGAGCCGAUGUCGGAUUAGCUAGUUGGCGGGGUAAAGGCCCACCAAGGCGACGAUCCGUAGCUGGUCUGAGAGGAUGAUCAGCCACACUGGAACUGAGACACGGUCCAGACUCCUACGGGAGGCAGCAGUGGGGAAUAUUGGACAAUGGGCGCAAGCCUGAUCCAGCCAUACCGCGUGGGUGAAGAAGGCCUUCGGGUUGUAAAGCCCUUUUGUUGGGAAAGAAAAGCAGCAGGUUAAUACCCCGCUGUUCUGACGGUACCCAAAGAAUAAGCACCGGCUAACUUCGUG